This 327-nucleotide unclassified non-coding RNA is filed under the name uncultured fungus. Its description in RNAcentral is "sequence contains 5.8S rRNA gene". The record is from RNAcentral. Lineage: Eukaryota; Fungi.
GAACGCACAUUGCGCUUCCUGGUAUUCCGGGGAGCAUGCUCGUUUCAGAAUCAUUUAAAACUCACAAUCCUUUUGCGCUUUGCGGCGCUUGGGGGGCGUGGAUGUGAGCGUAUUUUUCUUUGCAAAAAGAAAAUCGCUUUGAAAUGAUUGUGUGUACGUCGAUACUUAUCGGUCGAAAUGCUCAGUGCAACAGAUAAUGGAACACUUUGUUGAUCAGCUGGUAUGGAAACGUAUGCAAUUCCAAUAAACACAGAUCUGAUUGCAAGUUUUGUGAUCAGCUCUGACAACUUGGUCUGAAAUCGAGCAAGAAAACCCGCUGAACUUAAG